CCUACGAGAGGCAGCAGUGAGGAAUAUUGGUCAAUGGACGCAAGUCUGAACCAGCCAUGCCGCGUGCAGGAAGACGGCUCUAUGAGUUGUAAACUGCUUUUGUACGAGGGUAAACGCAGAUACGCGUAUCUGUCUGAAAGUAUCUUACGAAUAAGGAUCGGCUAAAUACGUGCCAGCAGCCGCGGUAAUACGGAGGAUUCAAGCGUUAUCCGGAUUUAUUGGGUUUAAAGGGUGCGUAGGCGGUCGGAUAAGUUAGAGGUGAAAUCCCAAGGCUCAACUUCGGAAUUGCCUCUGAUACUGUUCGGCUAGAGAGUAGUUGCGGUAGGCGGAAUGUAUGGUGUAGCGGUGAAAUGCUUAGAGAUCAUACAGAACACCGAUUGCGAAGGCAGCUUACCAAGCUACUUCUGACGUUGAGGCACGAAAGCGUGGGGAGCAAACAGGAUUAGAUACCCCUGUAGUC
Molecule: ribosomal RNA, 460 nt
Filed under: uncultured bacterium
Lineage: Bacteria
Description: partial 16S ribosomal RNA
Rfam family: Bacterial small subunit ribosomal RNA
Source: RNAcentral